UAACCGUUUGAACAAUUUUCUGUUUCUCAAAAUGAGUACUUAACAAAAAUUCUGGGAACAAUUCUUUCAUUUAUAAAUUAACAAGAAACGUGACGACAACAUUGAAAUUAGUUUUUUGUCAAUAUUAAGGCAAAUAAUAAAAUUAAACAAAAUGGAAAUUUUAAUUAAAAACCUAAACGUGUGAGCUACAUUUUGAAUUCGGCGGUGAAAUUUGAAAAUGCAUUGGAAAAUUUCUUAGAAAUUGGGAAAACCAUGUGGAAAUUUAUAACUUUGAGUGUGUAAACUCUGAGGAGAUAAACAAUCUGGAAAAAUGCUGUUUACGAUGUAAAGGGAAAUGAGUCCUGUUGUUCUAGAAUCGUGUAAUCAUAAGGAACUCUGAAACAAUUUGGAAAAAUGCCUGUAAAGUUUGCAAAAUAUCCGAUUGAAAGUGAUUUCUCCAAGAAUCGUGUAACCAUGAGAGCUACUUGGCAGACAUGUUUCAAUUCCAAAAUUAAAUAAAAAAUGGUUGCUAAACACGCUGUUUUAUUACCACAAUGUUUCAAAGAUGCCAGAUCAUGUGUGCAUAGCAUUAGGUAGUUUACCCUUUGGUGUGAUUGAAUGGUAUUGCAGUAAAAUCUUUGAAACAAGAAAUUCCUAAUUAUAUAUGUGAUAUUUUGUGGAUUCAAAAAGAUUUAAUAAAAAACACGUUUUCAUUAAAAA
Lucilia sericata (common green bottle fly) is the source of this 699-nucleotide long non-coding RNA. RefSeq lists it as uncharacterized. Lineage: Eukaryota; Metazoa; Arthropoda; Insecta; Diptera; Calliphoridae. The record is from RefSeq and is a predicted model, not a curated record. The transcript has 5 exons.